UGGGGAAUUUUGGACAAUGGGGGAAACCCUGAUCCAGCCAUCCCGCGUGUGCGAUGAAGGCCUUCGGGUUGUAAAGCACUUUUGGCAGGAAAGAAACGUCAUGGGUUAAUACCCCGUGAAACUGACGGUACCUGCAGAAUAAGCACCGGCUAACUACGUGCCAGCAGCCGCGGUAAUACGUAGGGUGCAAGCGUUAAUCGGAAUUACUGGGCGUAAAGCGUGCGCAGGCGGUUCGGAAAGAAAGAUGUGAAAUCCCAGAGCUCAACUUUGGAACUGCAUUUUUAACUACCGGGCUAGAGUGUGUCAGAGGGAGGUGGAAUUCCGCGUGUAGCAGUGAAAUGCGUAGAUAUGCGGAGUAACACCGAUGGCGAAGGCAGCCUCCUGGGAUAACACUGACGCUCAUGCACGAAAGCGUGGGGAGCAAACAGG
This 429-nucleotide ribosomal RNA is filed under the name Acidobacteriota bacterium. RNAcentral describes it as "Acidobacteria bacterium partial 16S ribosomal RNA". It matches the Rfam family "Bacterial small subunit ribosomal RNA", at positions 355 to 776 of the family's 1533-position model. The record is from RNAcentral. Lineage: Bacteria; Pseudomonadati; Acidobacteriota.